RNAcentral lists this ribosomal RNA (253 nucleotides) under uncultured bacterium. RNAcentral describes it as "partial 16S ribosomal RNA". It matches the Rfam family "Bacterial small subunit ribosomal RNA", at positions 524 to 776 of the family's 1533-position model. The record is from RNAcentral.
UACGUAGGGUGCGAGCGUUGUCCGGAAUUAUUGGGCGUAAAGGGCUCGUAGGCGGUUUGUCGCGUCGGGAGUGAAAACCCAGGGCUUAACCCUGGGCUGGCUUUCGAUACGGGCGGACUGGAGGCCAGUAGGGGGAUGCGGAAUUCCGGGUGUAGUGGUGGAAUGCGUAGAGAUCCGGAGGAACACCAGCGGCGAAGGCGGCAUCCUGGACUGGUCCUGACACUCAGGAGCGAAAGCGUGGGGAGCGAUCCGG